Molecule: ribosomal RNA, 410 nt
Filed under: uncultured Hyphomicrobiaceae bacterium
Lineage: Bacteria; Pseudomonadati; Pseudomonadota; Alphaproteobacteria; Hyphomicrobiales; Hyphomicrobiaceae
Description: bacterial SSU rRNA
Rfam family: Bacterial small subunit ribosomal RNA
Source: RNAcentral
UGUCAGCAGCCGCGGUAAUACGAAGGGGGCUAGCGUUGUUCGGAUUUACUGGGCGUAAAGCGCACGUAGGCGGAUUGUUAAGUCAGGGGUGAAAUCCCAGAGCUCAACUCUGGAACUGCCUUUGAUACUGGCAAUCUAGAGUCCGGAAGAGGUGAGUGGAACUACUAGUGUAGCGGUGGAAUUCGUAGAUAUUAGGAAGAACACCAGUGGCGAAGGCGGCUCACUGGUCCGUUACUGACGCUGAGGGGCGAAAGCGUGGGGAGCAAACAGGAUUAGAUACCCUGGUAGUCCACGCCGUAAACUAUGAGAGCUAGCCGUUGGAGAGUUUACUAUUAAGUGGCGCAGCUAACGCAUUAAGCUAUCCGCCUGGGGAGUACGGUCGCAAGAUUAAAACUCAAAGAAAUUGACGG